RNAcentral lists this ribosomal RNA (484 nucleotides) under uncultured bacterium. Its description in RNAcentral is "partial 16S ribosomal RNA". It matches the Rfam family "Bacterial small subunit ribosomal RNA", at positions 29 to 507 of the family's 1533-position model. The record is from RNAcentral.
AUUGAACGCUGGCGGAAUGCUUUACACAUGCGAGUCGAACGGCAGCACGGGGGCGGCCCUGGUGGCGAGUGGCGAACGGGGGAGUAAUACAUCGGAACGUGCCCGGUCGUGGGGGAUAACGUAGCGAAAGUUACGCUAAUACCGCAUACGAUCUGAGGAUGAAAGCGGGGGACCUUCGGGCCUCGCGCGAUCGGAGCGGCCGAUGUCAGAUUAGGUAGUUGGUGGGGUAAAGGCCUACCAAGCCGACGAUCUGUAGCUGGUCUGAGAGGACGACCAGCCACACUGGGACUGAGACACGGCCCAGACUCCUACGGGAGGCAGCAGUGGGGAAUUUUGGACAAUGGGCGCAAGCCUGAUCCAGCCAUUCCGCGUGCAGGACGAAGGCCUUCGGGUUGUAAACUGCUUUUGUACGGAACGAAAAGGCUCUGGCUAAUACCUGGGGCUCAUGACGGUACCGUAAGAAUAAGCACCGGCUAACUACGUG